ACUCAAACUUGUGACCCUCCUGCCUCAGCCUCUGCACAAUAACUGAAACUAUAGGUGCGUGCCACCCACCCCACUUGAGGUUACUCUUUAUUUUUUUGCUAAAAAGAAUGGCAAGACAGCCUAGAUAUUAAUAAUAAGAUUUAAUGUGGCCACGUACAGCCCCUUGCUUAAGCACGUGAUCCCACACAGGAAUCGGUGCUCCAGGGAGCUGUAACCUGGAACCCCAAGCUCCUUGUCAGGUAAGAAUCACUUUAGGGUGCAAGCGUUAAGUAAGGGUUAAAAUGGGUUCUGGAGCAAGAGGUCAUCAGGUGACUGCCGCUGAGAGAAGGCAACAGAAGGAGGGAGGGGAAAGGAAAAGCAGCUCAGACACAGGAUUUCCCUCCAAACAGCAGCCUGGGAAUCCACGCCUCCCCGCAGGCCACCCUGAGAGGUGGGUCCGGGCUCUGGUGUCUGUUUAUGUCAGAGGAGGCACUGGCCUGACCCAGGUCUCUCUAGGUUUUGGGUCCAGUCGCAGGGUCACCAUGGCGACCUCUAACCUGGCGCAUGCGCAAAGGGGUAAGGAAGGCCCAGGGACCACGCAGCCCAGGGCCCGAUGAGGGCUACAGCUCAGCCCCUUCCGGCCUCCAGCUGGUGACAGCAAGCAGUCUGCUCCCCUGACAGUCACUGCGACACAAACCUAAAGGCCUGUUCCUAAGGCACUGAUGAGCAUGGGAAAGUGCUCUCCAAACAAAUCCACAGCGAGUCAAGGGCCUGGAGGGGGUGCAGAUGAGCCACCGCAUCACAGGAAUGCAAGACAGGGCACGCGAUGAGCAGAAGGGUUCUCUGUCCCCAGCACUGCCGACACUGCAGACCAAAUACUCUUUAUGAUCUGGCCACCCUGUGCACCCUAAGGUGUCCCUCAGCAUCUCUGGCCUCUGCCGACCACAAUCCAGUAAAGCCGCCCCAGGCAGGCAAGAAGCACUGCAACUGUGAGAUGGGCCAGACCCCGGAGAACACAGGUCGAGGAGAAACUGCUUAUCAUCACCUAUAAACUCUUCGGUGUCAUCUGUCUGUGUGCUGGGAGUCAGGUUCCUGUCUCUAAAUCGCUCAUCAGUAAAGCAUCAACAGAUCCCUGGUGACCUGAAAGAAUUCGUGACCCCUCCACCCCUAAUAAAGUAGAACUUAAAAGA
Molecule: long non-coding RNA, 1169 nt
Organism: Heterocephalus glaber (naked mole-rat)
Lineage: Eukaryota; Metazoa; Chordata; Mammalia; Rodentia; Bathyergidae
Source: RefSeq, a predicted model, not a curated record